This 253-nucleotide unclassified non-coding RNA is filed under the name uncultured Alphaproteobacteria bacterium. Its description in RNAcentral is "contains 16S-23S intergenic spacer region". It matches the Rfam family "Bacterial small subunit ribosomal RNA", at positions 524 to 776 of the family's 1533-position model. Lineage: Bacteria; Pseudomonadati; Pseudomonadota; Alphaproteobacteria. The record is from RNAcentral.
GACGGAGGGUGCGAGCGUUGUUCGGAAUCACUGGGCGUAAAGGGCGCGUAGGCGGUGCUUCAAGUCGGGCGUGAAAGCCCGGGGCUCAACCCCGGAGGUGCGCCCGAGACUGGAGCGCUGGAGGCCGGGAGAGGGGGGUGGAAUACCCAGUGGAGAGGUGAAAUUCGUAGAUAUUGGGUGGAACACCGGUGGCGAAAGCGGCCCCCUGGCCCGGACCUGACGCUGAGGCGCGAAAGCGUGGGGAGCAAACAGG